Molecule: ribosomal RNA, 468 nt
Filed under: uncultured bacterium
Lineage: Bacteria
Description: partial 16S ribosomal RNA
Rfam family: Bacterial small subunit ribosomal RNA
Source: RNAcentral
GACGAACGCUGGCGGCGUGCUUAACACAUGCAAGUCGAACGGAAAGGCCCUGCUUUUGUGGGGUGCUCGAGUGGCGAACGGGUGAGUAACACGUGAGUAACCUUCCCUUGACUUUGGGAUAACUUCAGGAAACUGGGGCUAAUACCGGAUAGGAGCUCCUGCUGCAUGGUGGGGGUUGGAAAGUUUCGGCGGUUGGGGAUGGACUCGCGGCUUAUCAGCUUGUUGGUGGGGUAGUGGCUUACCAAGGCUUUGACGGGUAGCCGGCCUGAGAGGGUGACCGGCCACAUUGGGACUGAGAUACGGCCCAGACUGCUACGGGAGGCAGCAGUGGGGAAUAUUGCACAAUGGGCGGAAGCCUGAUGCAGCAACGCCGCGUGCGGGAUGACGGCCUUCGGGUUGUAAACCGCUUUCGCCUGUGACGAAGCGUGAGUGACGGUAAUGGGUAAAGAAGCACCGGCUAACUACGUG